RNAcentral lists this ribozyme (75 nucleotides) under unclassified sequences. RNAcentral's name for it is "HDV ribozyme from F. prausnitzii". It matches the Rfam family "HDV ribozyme from F. prausnitzii". The record is from RNAcentral.
GCUGCUCGAAACUUUGCACACCUCUUCGUGGUGAGCAGCAGGCAACGAUCUAUUAUGAUCGGCGAAGAUGUGAAA